This is a long non-coding RNA of Cydia splendana, 181 nucleotides long. RefSeq lists it as uncharacterized. The record is from RefSeq and is a predicted model, not a curated record. The transcript has 2 exons. Lineage: Eukaryota; Metazoa; Arthropoda; Insecta; Lepidoptera; Tortricidae.
GUAUCACUCGUCUACACGCACACUUUCAAACCGUCCGCCAUUGCAGUGUCACAAUUUGUCUUAAGUGACAUUCCCUCUGUCAAAUAUAUAACUCUAUGGUAAUAUCACAUAGUGACAUGAAAAAUACAUAGCAACAUAUAUAAAUACAACAGCCAAUACCUGGGUAAACAUUACAUUGUAA